AUUGAACGCUGGCGGCAGGCCUAACACAUGCAAGUCGAGCGGAUGAAGGGAGCUUGCUCCUGGAUUCAGCGGCGGACGGGUGAGUAAUGCCUAGGAAUCUGCCUGGUCGUGGGGGAUAACGUCCGGAAACGGGCGCUAAUACCGCAUACGUCCUGAGGGAGAAAGUGGGGGAUCUUCGGACCUCACGCUAUCAGAUGAGCCUAGGUCGGAUUAGCUAGUUGGUGGGGUAAAGGCCUACCAAGGCGACGAUCCGUAACUGGUCUGAGAGGGUGAUCAGUCACACUGGAACUGAGACACGGUCCAGACUCCUACGGGAGGCAGCAGUGGGGAAUAUUGGACAAUGGGCGAAAGCCUGAUCCAGCCAUGCCGCGUGUGUGAAGAAGGUCUUCGGAUUGUAAAGCACUGUAAGUUGGGAGGAAGGGCAGUAAGUGAAUACCUUGCUGUUUUGACGGUACCAACAGAAUAAGCACCGGCUAACUUCGUG
RNAcentral lists this ribosomal RNA (484 nucleotides) under uncultured bacterium. RNAcentral describes it as "partial 16S ribosomal RNA". It matches the Rfam family "Bacterial small subunit ribosomal RNA", at positions 30 to 507 of the family's 1533-position model. The record is from RNAcentral.